This 273-nucleotide ribosomal RNA is filed under the name uncultured Caulobacterales bacterium. RNAcentral describes it as "partial 16S ribosomal RNA". It matches the Rfam family "Bacterial small subunit ribosomal RNA", at positions 505 to 778 of the family's 1533-position model. Lineage: Bacteria; Pseudomonadati; Pseudomonadota; Alphaproteobacteria; Caulobacterales. The record is from RNAcentral.
GUGCCAGCCGCCGCGGUAAUACGAAGGGGGCUAGCGUUGCUCGGAAUUACUGGGCGUAAAGGGAGCGUAGGCGGACAUUUAAGUCAGGGGUGAAUCCCGGGGCUCAACCUCGGAAUUGCCUUUGAUACUGGGUGUCUUGAGUAUGAGAGAGGUGUGUGGAACUCCGAGUGUAGAGGUGAAAUUCGUAGAUAUUCGGAAGAACACCAGUGGCGAAGGCGACACACUGGCUCAUUACUGACGCUGAGGCUCGAAAGCGUGGGGAGCAAACAGGAU